GCUGCCCUGUGUCCGGGGGACAAUAUAAAACAGGUCAGAAUCCUCUUGCCUUCGUACGCAGUUCAUCCCAAGAAGCAGCCGCUCCAGGAACCAAGGCAUCAUGCGGCCCCGGCUGCUCCUUGUUGCUGUCUUCCUGGCUCUCCUGGUCUUGCCUGAAGCUACCAGGGCCGAGGAGGAAUCCCUUCUGGACAAAGUGAAGGGCUAUGCCAAGGAUGUGGUUCAGAAGACCAGAGACUGGAUGACUGAAAGCUUCAGCUCCCUGAAAGACUCCUGGAACUCGUUCAAGAGCAAGUUCAAGUGACUUCUGGGAAUCUGCGUACAGUCCCACACAGUCUCCACCCUGAGGCCGUCUGAGAUCUAAGAACCCCAAGUCCACCCGUCUAUCCAUCCUACUAGCUCCUUGAGUCCCGCAGCCUCCAAGGGCUGCCCCCAAGGGUCACUUACAAGAACCGCAUUCUCAGUGCCCUCCCCGAACCCCCCCCUCCAAGACCUGGCCCGGUGUGUGCUGGCCUUCCAAUAAAGCUGGAUGAGAAACUGC
Long non-coding RNA from Cervus elaphus (red deer), 538 nucleotides. RefSeq lists it as uncharacterized. The transcript is spliced from 4 exons. Lineage: Eukaryota; Metazoa; Chordata; Mammalia; Artiodactyla; Cervidae. The record is from RefSeq and is a predicted model, not a curated record.